This 253-nucleotide ribosomal RNA is filed under the name uncultured bacterium. RNAcentral's name for it is "partial 16S ribosomal RNA". It matches the Rfam family "Bacterial small subunit ribosomal RNA", at positions 524 to 776 of the family's 1533-position model. The record is from RNAcentral.
UACGAAGGGGACUAGCGUUGUUCGGAUUUACUGGGCGUAAAGCGCGCGUAGGCGGAUCGCUAAGUCAGGGGUGAAAUCCCAGGGCUCAACCCUGGAACUGCCUUUGAUACUGACGGUCUGGAGAUCGGGAGAGGUUGGUGGAAUUCCGAGUGUAGAGGUGAAAUUCGUAGAUAUUCGGAGGAACACCAGAAGCGAAGGCGGCCAACUGGCCCGAUACUGACGCUGAGGCGCGAAAGCGUGGGGAGCGAACAGG